AUAGAAACUAACUUGGGAAUGUUUCGAAAUUUUCGAAGAAUUGUUUGAUAUGGAGUUGAUCGGUGCAUGAUUAAUUAAGCUAGAAACUGAAAUUUUAAAAUGAUGAUCAGGGCUUAUGGUAUAUAUAGUUUGAUAUCUUGAAGUCCUUAAUUAGGAUUUGGCAUAAAUUUUCCAUGUUUUCAAUGCCAUAGGUAAUGCAAUUG
RNAcentral lists this unclassified non-coding RNA (203 nucleotides) under Hevea brasiliensis (rubber tree). Lineage: Eukaryota; Viridiplantae; Streptophyta; Magnoliopsida; Malpighiales; Euphorbiaceae. The record is from RNAcentral.